AGUGAACGCUGGCGGUAGGCCUAACACAUGCAAGUCGAACGGCAGCACAGUAAGAGCUUGCUCUUACGGGUGGCGAGUGGCGGACGGGUGAGGAAUACAUCGGAAUCUACUUUUUCGUGGGGGAUAACGUAGGGAAACUUACGCUAAUACCGCAUACGACCUACGGGUGAAAGCAGGGGAUCUUCGGACCUUGCGCGAUUGAAUGAGCCGAUGUCGGAUUAGCUAGUUGGCGGGGUAAAGGCCCACCAAGGCGACGAUCCGUAGCUGGUCUGAGAGGAUGAUCAGCCACACUGGAACUGAGACACGGUCCAGACUCCUACGGGAGGCAGCAGUGGGGAAUAUUGGACAAUGGGAGCAAGCCUGAUCCAGACAUACCGCGUGGGUGAAGAAGGCCUUCGGGUUGUAAAGCCCUUUUGUUGGGAAAGAAAAGCAGCAGGUUAAUACCCCGCUGUUCUGACGGUACCCAAAGAAUAAGCACCGGCUAACUUCGUG
RNAcentral lists this ribosomal RNA (492 nucleotides) under uncultured bacterium. Its description in RNAcentral is "partial 16S ribosomal RNA". It matches the Rfam family "Bacterial small subunit ribosomal RNA", at positions 29 to 507 of the family's 1533-position model. The record is from RNAcentral.